This is an RNA transcript of Rhododendron vialii, 534 nucleotides long. It is a transcript of the gene named protein LIFEGUARD 4-like, with no coding region annotated. The transcript has 2 exons. NCBI's taxonomy places the organism in Eukaryota, Viridiplantae, Streptophyta, Magnoliopsida, Ericales, Ericaceae. The record is from RefSeq and is a predicted model, not a curated record.
UCUGUUAUGCGCGAGUUUCCAAUGAAUGCCAGUACAUGCAAAUAACCGAACCGAACACCAGUCGUCGUCCCCAUUUUCCCCAUGAUUUCUCUCUCUCUCUCUCUGGGUGUGUAUACAUACUGUAUUGCACUGAAUCGUCGUUCACAAACGGGUGUCAAUCCUCUCCAAACUAAUUGUGGCCUCACAUUUUCGGGUAUGCAAAAUCUCAAUUUUCGUCCGGAUUGUGUACAAUUCAAAUGAGGCUAUCGAUUUCAUCACUUUAUGCUACCUAAUUAAUUCAGGGAGAGUCGUUUUGCUAGCUGGGAUUCUAACUAUUAUUGUGGUCAUUUCCUUGACACUAUACGUGUUCUGGGCCGCCAAAAAUGGCUGCGACUUCCAUGUCCUGGGGCCGUUUCUCUUCACCUCCCUCUUGGUGCUCAUUGCUUUUGCUCUGAUUCAGGUUUGUGGAACUGUCUUUUCCUUAUUCCAGGGGAACUCUAUAGUUUUCCACCAUACCAUGAAUGUGUACGUGACAAGAAAAUGAGAACAUUGGAU